RNAcentral lists this ribosomal RNA (325 nucleotides) under uncultured bacterium. RNAcentral describes it as "bacterial SSU rRNA". It matches the Rfam family "Bacterial small subunit ribosomal RNA", at positions 28 to 334 of the family's 1533-position model. The record is from RNAcentral.
GACGAACGCUGGCGGCGUGCCUAACACAUGCAAGUCGAACGGAGUUUAAUAACGGAAGCCUUCGGGCGGAAGAUAUUAAACUUAGUGGCGGACGGGUGAGUAACGCGUGAGCAACCUGCCUCUCAGAGGGGGAUAACGUUUGGAAACGAACGCUAAUACCGCAUAACAUAUCUUUACCGCAUGAUAGAGAUAUCAAAGGAGCAAUCCGCUGAGAGAUGGGCUCGCGUCCGAUUAGAUAGUUGGCAGGGUGAUAGCCUACCAAGGCGACGAUCGGUAGCCGACCUGAGAGGGUGAUCGGCCACAUUGGAACUGAGAUACGGUCCAA